Molecule: ribosomal RNA, 568 nt
Filed under: uncultured Neisseriaceae bacterium
Lineage: Bacteria; Pseudomonadati; Pseudomonadota; Betaproteobacteria; Neisseriales; Neisseriaceae
Description: bacterial SSU rRNA
Rfam family: Bacterial small subunit ribosomal RNA
Source: RNAcentral
ACAAUUAGCUGUUGGGACACUAGAUGUUUUAGUAGCGAAGCUAACGCGUGAAAUUGUCCGCCUGGGGAGUACGGUCGCAAGAUUAAAACUCAAAGGAAUUGACGGGGACCCGCACAAGCGGUGGAUGAUGUGGAUUAAUUCGAUGCAACGCGAAGAACCUUACCUGGUCUUGACAUGUACGGAAUCUCUUAGAGAUAGGAGAGUGCCUUCGGGAGCCGUAACACAGGUGCUGCAUGGCUGUCGUCAGCUCGUGUCGUGAGAUGUUGGGUUAAGUCCCGCAACGAGCGCAACCCUUGUCAUUAGUUGCCAUCAUUAAGUUGGGCACUCUAAUGAGACUGCCGGUGACAAACCGGAGGAAGGUGGGGAUGACGUCAAGUCCUCAUGGCCCUUAUGACCAGGGCUUCACACGUCAUACAAUGGUCGGUACAGAGGGUAGCGAAGCCGCGAGGUGAAGCCAAUCUCAGAAAGCCGAUCGUAGUCCGGAUUGCACUCUGCAACUCGAGUGCAUGAAGUCGGAAUCGCUAGUAAUCGCAGGUCAGCAUACUGCGGUGAAUACGUUCCCGGGUCU